GAUGAACGCUGGCGGCGUGCCUAAUACAUGCAAGUCGAGCGAACAGACGAGGAGCUUGCUCCUCCGACGUUAGCGGCGGACGGGUGGGUAACACGUGGAUAACCUACCUAUAAGACUGGGAUAACUUCGGGAAACCGGAGCUAAUACCGGAUAAUAUAUUGAACCGCAUGGUUCAAUAGUGAAAGACGGUUUUGCUGUCACUUAUAGAUGGAUCCGCGCCGCAUUAGCUAGUUGGUAAGGUAACGGCUUACCAAGGCGACGAUGCGUGGCCGACCUGAGAGGGUGAUCGGCCACACUGGAACUGAGACACGGUCCAGACUCCUACGGGAGGCAGCAGUAGGGAAUCUUCCGCAAUGGGCGAAAGCCUGACGGAGCAACGCCGCGUGAGUGAUGAAGGUCUUCGGAUCGUAAAACUCUGUUAUUAGGGAAGAACAAAUGUGUAAGUAACUAUGCACGUCUUGACGGUACCUAAUCAGAAAGCCACGGCUAACUACGUG
Molecule: ribosomal RNA, 497 nt
Filed under: uncultured bacterium
Lineage: Bacteria
Description: partial 16S ribosomal RNA
Rfam family: Bacterial small subunit ribosomal RNA
Source: RNAcentral